GAGUACGAUCGCAAGAUUAAAACUCAAAGGAAUUGACGGGGCCCCGUACAAGCAGCGGAGCAUGCGGCUUAAUUCGACGCAACGCGAAGAACCUUACCAAGGCUUGACAUAUACAGGAAUAUGGCAGAGAUGUCAUAGCCGCAAGGUCUGUAUACAGGUGGUGCAUGGUUGUCGUCAGCUCGUGUCGUGAGAUGUUGGGUUAAGUCCCGCAACGAGCGCAACCCUCGUUCUGUGUUGCCAGCAUUUAGUUGGGGACUCACAGGAGACUGCCGGGGUCAACUCGGAGGAAGGUGGGGAUGACGUCAAAUCAUCAUGCCCCUUAUGUCUUGGGCUGCACGCAUGCUACAAUGGCUGGUACAAAGGGCUGCAAUACUGCAAAGUGGAGCGAAUCCCAAAAAGCCAGUCUCAGUUCGGAUUGGGGUCUGCAACUCGACCCCAUGAAGUCGGAGUUGCUAGUAAUCGUAGAUCAGCAACGCUACGGUGAAUACGUUCCCGGGGCUUGUACACACCGCCCGUCACAUCACGAAAGUCGGUAACACCCGAA
This 544-nucleotide ribosomal RNA is filed under the name uncultured Actinomycetes bacterium. RNAcentral describes it as "bacterial SSU rRNA". It matches the Rfam family "Bacterial small subunit ribosomal RNA", at positions 878 to 1425 of the family's 1533-position model. Lineage: Bacteria; Bacillati; Actinomycetota; Actinomycetes. The record is from RNAcentral.